UUACCCUUUAUUCCAUUCGUUGUUCUCUCGUCUCCCUCACUUAUUCUCCCUCUUCUUCAUCUCUCUUGCCUUCUUCUCCCUUCUUCCUCCUUCGACCCAACAACAACAACAACACUUAAACCCAGAAAAAACCCUAAUCGGCCCAAAACAACAACAACAAACAACGAUACAUGAAUUUAUGAGUUGCGUAUUACCUUUAACAUCGAGACUUCGUGUUUGUUCUUUGAUUCUGCUGGUUCUGAUUCCUAACCUCUUUCUUUUUGUUUUGCAGAUACAAGGAUGGCGAUGA
Vicia faba (fava bean) is the source of this 289-nucleotide non-coding RNA. Lineage: Eukaryota; Viridiplantae; Streptophyta; Magnoliopsida; Fabales; Fabaceae. The record is from the annotation of a GenBank genome assembly.